GACGAACGCUGGCGGCGUGCUUAACACAUGCAAGUCGAACGGAAAAGCCCUGCUUUUGUGGGGUGCUCGAGUGGCGAACGGGUGAGUAACACGUGAGUAACCUGCCCUUGACUUUGGGAUAACUUCAGGAAACUGGGGCUAAUACCGGAUAGGAGCUCCUGCUGCAUGGUGGGGGUUGGAAAGUUUCGGCGGUUGGGGAUGGACUCGCGGCUUAUCAGCUUGUUGGUGGGGUAGUGGCUUACCAAGGCUUUGACGGGUAGCCGGCCUGAGAGGGUGACCGGCCACAUUGGGACUGAGAUACGGCCCAGACUCCUACGGGAGGCAGCAGUGGGGAAUAUUGCACAAUGGGCGGAAGCCUGAUGCAGCAACGCCGCGUGCGGGAUGACGGCCUUCGGGUUGUAAACCGCUUUCGCCUGUGACGAAGCGAGAGUGACGGUAAUGGGUAAAGAAGCACCGGCUAACUACGUG
This 468-nucleotide ribosomal RNA is filed under the name uncultured bacterium. RNAcentral describes it as "partial 16S ribosomal RNA". It matches the Rfam family "Bacterial small subunit ribosomal RNA", at positions 28 to 507 of the family's 1533-position model. The record is from RNAcentral.